RNAcentral lists this ribosomal RNA (500 nucleotides) under uncultured bacterium. RNAcentral describes it as "bacterial SSU rRNA". It matches the Rfam family "Bacterial small subunit ribosomal RNA", at positions 29 to 518 of the family's 1533-position model. The record is from RNAcentral.
ACGAACGCUGGCGGCGUGCCUAACACAUGCAAGUCGAACGAAGCUCCUGAUCAGAUCUUCGGAUGAAGUGAAGGAAGACUUAGUGGCGGACGGGUGAGUAACGCGUGAGCAACCUGCCUUCAGAGGGGGAUAACAGUUGGAAACGACUGCUAAUACCGCAUAACAUAUUGGAGUCGCAUGGCUCUGAUAUCAAAGCUGAGGCGCUGAGAGAUGGGCUCGCGUCCGAUUAGAUAGUUGGUGGGUAACGGCCUACCAAGUCGACGAUCGGUAGCCGGACUGAGAGGUUGAACGGCCACAUUGGGACUGAGACACGGCCCAGACUCCUACGGGAGGCAGCAGUGGGGGAUAUUGCACAAUGGGGGAAACCCUGAUGCAGCGACGCCGCGUGAGUGAAGAAGUAUUUCGGUAUGUAAAGCUCGAUCGGCAGGGAAGAAAGGCCCCGCAAGGGGAGAUGACGGUACCUGCAGUGAAGCCCCGGCUAACUACGUGCCAGCAGCCGC